AGACGAUAUUUAUAUAUUUUGUAAAGUAUAAAUGUUUUCUUAUUUGACCUUAUGUAAAUUUUAAUUAAAUUUUAGUAUGCAAUCCUAUAUAUAUUGAUUUGCUAUGGAAUUUAGUAGUAUGUUACAAGCACUAGAGAUUUUUAUAAGUGAUUUGGUUUGGAUUGGUUUGGGAGACUCUGACUAGAAAAUCGUAGUUAACAGCGGUUAUGACGUUAACCUAGAUGCAUCUGGCUCAGACCUCAGCUAGCAGGGGCGUUGCUAGCCUAACGUGUAGGCCACGCGUUGGAUCUGUUAUACCGUACGGGCACACUAGAGGAAAGGGCUACCCUUAGAGGUGGAGCCGCCCUAGAUACAGGAGUCAUUCCAGGUUCCAUUCCACCUGCCCCUCAGUAGAUUUUAGUCAUUUUGGUGAGCCCUUCUUCUUUCUAAGGGCUAAGUAAUUAUGUAAUGGAACUUUUGCUCAAAAUCUAGAUUAUGUCAAUGCUCCAUAUGUCACAGGCAGGAUCCUCGUGUGGGUUAUGUUAUUUUGAAUCUUGAACUGUUUAGGUAGUGAUUAUGAUUUGGUUAUGUAAGACUUAUGGUUUUAACUAUAUACUCUAGUUAUCAACUUGAUAUAUAUAUGAUGCGUAUUUUGGAUA
This is a non-coding RNA of Arachis ipaensis, 638 nucleotides long. The record is from RefSeq and is a predicted model, not a curated record. NCBI's taxonomy places the organism in Eukaryota, Viridiplantae, Streptophyta, Magnoliopsida, Fabales, Fabaceae.